This 465-nucleotide ribosomal RNA is filed under the name uncultured bacterium. RNAcentral describes it as "partial 16S ribosomal RNA". It matches the Rfam family "Bacterial small subunit ribosomal RNA", at positions 28 to 507 of the family's 1533-position model. The record is from RNAcentral.
GACGAACGCUGGCGGCGUGCUUAACACAUGCAAGUCGUACGGUAAGGCCCUUUCGGGGUUACACGAGUGGCGAACGGGUGAGUAACACGUGAGUAACCUGCCCACAACUUUGUGAUAACGCUAGGAAACUGGUGCUAAUACUGGAUAUGUGCUCCUGCUGCUUGGUGUGGGUUGGAAAGCUCCGGCGGUUGUGGAUGGACUCGCGGCCUAUAAGCUGGUUGGUGGGGUAGUGGCCUACCAAGGCGGCGACGGGUAGCCGGACUGUGAGGGUGACCGGCCACAUUGGGACUGAGAUAAGGCCCAGGUUCGGACGGGAGGCAGAAGUGGGGAAUCUUGAACAAUGGGCGCAAGCCGGAUGAAGAAAGGCCGCGUGCGGGAUAACGGUCUUGGGGUUGUAAACAGCUUUCAGCAGGAAAGAAGCUUUUUGUGACGGUACCUGAAGAAGAAGCACCGGCUAACUACGUG